This 91-nucleotide small nuclear RNA is filed under the name Nippostrongylus brasiliensis. Lineage: Eukaryota; Metazoa; Nematoda; Chromadorea; Rhabditida; Heligmosomidae. The record is from RNAcentral.
GCUCAUUCCUGACCUAUACUAAAAUUGGAACAACAUAGAGAAGAUUAUCAUAGCCCCUGCGCAAGGAUGACACGCAAAAUAUUUGUUUUUU